AAAGCGUGCGCAGGCGGUUAUGUAAGACAGAUGUGAAAUCCCCGGGCUCAACCUGGGAACUGCAUUUGUGACUGUAUAGCUGGAGUGCGGCAGAGGGGGAUGGAAUUCCGCGUGUAGCAGUGAAAUGCGUAGAUAUGCGGAGGAACACCGAUGGCGAAGGCAAUCCCCUGGGCCUGCACUGACGCUCAUGCACGAAAGCGUGGGGAGCAAACAGGAUUAGAUACCCCUGU
RNAcentral lists this ribosomal RNA (230 nucleotides) under uncultured bacterium. Its description in RNAcentral is "partial 16S ribosomal RNA". It matches the Rfam family "Bacterial small subunit ribosomal RNA", at positions 562 to 791 of the family's 1533-position model. The record is from RNAcentral.